CGAAGGGCGUAGCGUUGCUCGGAAUUACUGGGCGUAAAGGGCGCGUAGGCGGCCUUGCAAGUCAGGCGUGAAAUUCCUGGGCUUAACCUGGGGCUGCGCUUGAGACUGUGGGCUUGAGGGUGGAAGAGGGUCGCGGAAUUCCCAGUGUAGAGGUGAAAUUCGUAGAUAUUGGGAAGAACACCGGUGGCGAAGGCGGCGACCUGGUCCAUUACUGACGCUGAGGCGCGACAGCGUGGGGAGCAAACAGGAUU
RNAcentral lists this ribosomal RNA (251 nucleotides) under uncultured bacterium. RNAcentral describes it as "partial 16S ribosomal RNA". It matches the Rfam family "Bacterial small subunit ribosomal RNA", at positions 526 to 779 of the family's 1533-position model. The record is from RNAcentral.